AAGUCGUAACAAGGUUUCCGUAGGUGAGCCUGCGGAAGGAUCAUUACAAGUGAGGCUACCGAACGCUGGGAACAGCGGUUAGGAGUCAUACCACCCACCGUUGUUACAUCUAUUGUUGCUUUGGCGGGCCGUGGCCUCCACUGCGGGCUCUGCUCGUGUGUGCCCGCCAGAGGACCAAACUCUGAAUGUUAGUGAUGUCUGAGUACUAUCUAAUAGUUAAAA
This 222-nucleotide unclassified non-coding RNA is filed under the name plant metagenome. RNAcentral describes it as "partial contains small subunit ribosomal RNA and internal transcribed spacer 1". The stretch from base 1 to 46 matches the Rfam family "Eukaryotic small subunit ribosomal RNA", at positions 1786 to 1831 of the family's 1831-position model. The record is from RNAcentral.